UGCAAGUCGAACGGAAAGGCCCCUUCGGGGGUACUCGAGUGGCGAACGGGUGAGUAACACGUGGGCAAUCUGCCCUGCACUUCGGGAUAAGCCUGGGAAACUGGGUCUAAUACCGGAUAGGACCUUUAGGCGCAUGUCUUUAGGUGGAAAGCUUUUGCGGUGUGGGAUGGGCCCGCGGCCUAUCAGCUUGUUGGUGGGGUGAUGGCCUACCAAGGCGACGACGGGUAGCCGGCCUGAGAGGGUGUCCGGCCACACUGGGACUGAGAUACGGCCCAGACUCCUACGGGAGGCAGCAGUGGGGAAUAUUGCACAAUGGGCGCAAGCCUGAUGCAGCGACGCCGCGUGGGGGAUGACGGCCUUCGGGUUGUAAACCUCUUUCACCAUCGACGAAGGUUCGGGUUUUCUCGGAUUGACGGUAGGUGGAGAAGAAGCACCGGCCAACUACGUGCCAGCAGCCGCGGUAAUACGUAGGGUGCGAGCGUUGUCCGGAAUUACUGGGCGUAAAGAGCUCGUAGGUGGUUUGUCGCGUUGUUCGUGAAAUCUCACGGCUUAACUGUGAGCGUGCGGGCGAUACGGGCAGACUAGAGUACUGCAGGGGAGACUGGAAUUCCUGGUGUAGCGGUGGAAUGCGCAGAUAUCAGGAGGAACACCGGUGGCGAAGGCGGGUCUCUGGGCAGUAACUGACGCUGAGGAGCGAAAGCGUGGGAGCGAACAGGAUUAGAUACCCUGGUAGUCCACGCCGUAAACGGUGGGUACUAGGUGUGGGUUUCCUUCCUUGGGAUCCGUGCCGUAGCUAACG
RNAcentral lists this ribosomal RNA (799 nucleotides) under Mycobacterium intracellulare subsp. chimaera. RNAcentral's name for it is "bacterial SSU rRNA". It matches the Rfam family "Bacterial small subunit ribosomal RNA", at positions 56 to 857 of the family's 1533-position model. Lineage: Bacteria; Bacillati; Actinomycetota; Actinomycetes; Mycobacteriales; Mycobacteriaceae. The record is from RNAcentral.